CUACGGGGGGCACCAGUGAGGAAUAUUGCACAAUGGGGGGAACCCUGAUGCAGCAACGCCGCGUGGAGGAUGACGCAUUUCGGUGUGUAAACUCCUUUUAUAUGUCAAGAAAAUGACGGUAGCAUAUGAAUAAGCACCGGCUGAACUCCGUGCCAGCAGCCGCGGUAAUACGGAGGGUGCAAGCGUUACUCGGAAUCACUGGGCGUAAAGGACGCGUAGGCGGGUUGGAAAGUCAGGUGUGAAAUCCUACAGCUUAACUGUAGAACUGCACUUGAAACUUCUAAUCUAGAGUAUGGGAGGGGGAGAUGGAAUUAGUGGUGUAGGGGUAAAAUCCGUAGAUAUCACUAGGAAUACCUAAAGCGAAGGCGAUCUCCUGGAACAUUACUGACGCUAAGGCGUGAAAGCGUGGGGAGCAAACAGGAUUAGAUACCCCGGUAGUC
This 440-nucleotide ribosomal RNA is filed under the name uncultured bacterium. Its description in RNAcentral is "partial 16S ribosomal RNA". It matches the Rfam family "Bacterial small subunit ribosomal RNA", at positions 339 to 795 of the family's 1533-position model. The record is from RNAcentral.